Molecule: long non-coding RNA, 471 nt
Organism: Leopardus geoffroyi (Geoffroy's cat)
Lineage: Eukaryota; Metazoa; Chordata; Mammalia; Carnivora; Felidae
Exons: 2
Source: RefSeq, a predicted model, not a curated record
GCACGUGCCCGGGGAGCCGCUUAGGGGACCGCGGCGCGCUCGCCUUCAGAGCGUCUCUCCAGCGGCCGCACGCAGCUCUGACCUCGUUCCCCUACGUGCUCUUAGCGAGAAAGGAGACUCGCUUCACUUGUACCGAUAUGCUUUCAUCAGUGUACACAACAGAGAACUGGGGAGAAUGUGACGCCCAGCGCAGCGGGCCAAGUCCCAGCAGAGUCCCAAGAGGGACAGGUUACGCUCUACCCUGACUGAGCACACAGGAGAAGGCCCAUGUCUGUCCUUGCCGUGGAAACGGCUGUCCUGACCCAGGCUGCUGGCCCUGGCAUGGGCGCCGUCCACCAAGUGUGUGCUCCGUGGGACCUGCUGAGACAGAUGCCAGGCUUCUACUACACACGCCAGAUCUCAAUCCCGCCAUGUCCGAGGGCCCAGAGACUGAAAUCUUAAUUGGUAAUAUAUUGUAAAAUUCACUAUUCA